ACACAAUGUACCACUGUCGUGUAUCCGCGCCGGUAGUGACAUGUUUGGAUAACGUGAAAAUGGCGUAUCCAUUGCAAAAACAAUGAGUGUUGUGUUCUUUUAUCUAUCGACAAUGAGAAAAAAAUGAAACAGCUUGCCUUUUAUCGGUGUGCAACUGUGGGUCUGCUAAGUCAUAUUUACUCUGUUGUUAAAAAUAGUUGGUCCAAAAAUCCAAGUGAUGACGAGACCUGAGUAAACGUCGCCAUUUUAAUUUUUUAAUCAUAAUUUCCACCAGAAAAUCAAAACGAUAAAUAUGUAUCUAUGUAUAUUACUGAUCAAGAAGUUUUGUUGAUUUUUUUCAAUGAACAAACUAAAAUAAUAAAAUUGAUUACACAAUAUACCGGUAUUUUACAUUCCGCUGAUUUCAUUUCCAAUGUAUAUUGCUAAUCUGUUCAUAAUUUUGUACAUG
Molecule: long non-coding RNA, 448 nt
Organism: Magallana angulata
Lineage: Eukaryota; Metazoa; Mollusca; Bivalvia; Ostreida; Ostreidae
Exons: 2
Source: RefSeq, a predicted model, not a curated record